UGAUUAUACCCAGGGCUUAACCAUGAUC
Molecule: non-coding RNA, 28 nt
Filed under: Mus musculus (house mouse)
Lineage: Eukaryota; Metazoa; Chordata; Mammalia; Rodentia; Muridae
Source: RNAcentral